UUAACACAUAUUUUGAUUAGAACUGUGUUAAAGGCUUCGAACACCAAUUUACAGGGCCUUGUGAUAGCUAAAAAUGCUCCUAUAUGGAGAAAGUGAAACUGGGUUUCGUCCCGUCACCCGUGUACCAGUGGAAUUCGGUUAAUGUGCUGACGGAGAGCGGACUCUUCCAGCACGGCGAAGUGGUCGGCGUGGCGGAGAAAGGUUUAGCCGUCGAUUUCCACUGCAGCGGACGACGAGCGCAGUAGCAAUACGUUUAACAGAGCACAAAGAAAAAUACUACAGUACCGUACUCUCUAGUACCUCCGGCAUUGAAUUAUUAAUUGUGCCAUGUCAGUAUUUUAUUGCAUUUCAUAUCUGGCCAAAUCAACAGUUUAGCGUGGGGUAGUAACUAAAGUAAGCCUAAAGUAAGCAUUUAUCAUGUUUAAGCCGAACGUAGUAAUUAUGUCUGUUGCAGUACAAAAACAUUAGCGAAAAUCCCAGGCGUCCGGCAUAUAACCAUGUAGCCCAUGAACCUUUUACGGACAACUUAAGCAAAAAAUUCAUCGUUAUCUCCAGCUUCCAAAUACCUCUUCCUGAAAUCUUUCCAACUGGAAUUAUCCUCUUCAUCAGAACAUUCCAAAUCUUCCGAGUGAAUUUCUUUCAUAGCCCGCAGCGUCAAGUUGGUCAACUUGGAUACAUCCAGAGAUUCCAGAUUCUCCUCCGUCCACUCGCGGUCGCGAUACUGCGUCGUCGAUCGCGGAUCAAGACUUUGCCAGUUAUUCAGACACUGCAUAAAAAUAUCCACAUUUGUGAUAUCAUAUUUUAAUAAAAUAGUUUGUACUAAACUAUGCGAUAUACAGU
This is a long non-coding RNA of Paramacrobiotus metropolitanus, 840 nucleotides long. RefSeq lists it as uncharacterized. Lineage: Eukaryota; Metazoa; Tardigrada; Eutardigrada; Parachela; Macrobiotidae. The record is from RefSeq and is a predicted model, not a curated record. The transcript is spliced from 3 exons.